CCACAGUCAGGGGGACACCUGCGGGCCCUCGCCUUGAGUUUUUUCAACUGACAUCCCACUCUGUUGCCGCUGUGACACGCCUCCUCCUCAGCCUGUAUACCUUAUUGUUGGAAUACUCUGGCUUUACAUUUUGGUAACUGUCUGGCAAAUAAGAGAGAGGAGAGAGAAAAAUGUGUCUGGGACGCUACUUGGUCCCCUUGUGUUAACCAGUCAAGGAACUUCCAAUGAAACCUCCUUGCCUGCCAAUCACUUUGCAUAUACACUGCAUACUAAUAAAAGUCUUCGGUGCUCAAGUUUGUUGGAAGUAAACAAGAAAUACUAACACCGCUGGCAACAUAUCUUAAACCCUGCCAAGUAUUUUGUGCAUACACUGCAUAGUGAAGUAAGUGGGUGCCUUAUUCUGGUGUGAGUUAACAAGAAAUGCAAACACCACUCGCAGCACCUUUAAACCCUUGUGCCCCUGGUUUAGCCUUGCAGAUGGAGGAGCUUGGCCCUCUUCAUUAGCCCCGGAGAGCACUUCUGAUUCCUCCACUGUCUCAUUAAAGCUGCCGUUGGCCCGCCAGGCAGUGUGAUUGCAUUCACACCGGCUCCUUUGUCUGCGUUCACGCCCCGCGCUCGUUCUUUCAGUGCUGUUGCAUCAGUGCCCUUUUGUGUGUCUCCACAGCAGUCCUGAUUACCAUCAUCUGUAGACUGCUGCUUCGCACGGCACUUUUUUGUUCCUUGCUCCGGUUUGCAUCAGUAAACAGCGGCCACCCGUCGAGUCCACGUUCAGUUUGAAUCCGUCAUUGGUAAUUUCAUGGAAACCGGCGAAGGCAACAGGCUUUUAUAGAGUUUUAUAACAGCCACACUGUUUGCCCUUCAACAGUUGCUAAGGACUAGAGAAGCGUUUCUGACUUCCCAACUAAGCUUGAGUUAUUCCUCUACACCAAGACUUUACCCCAUGUUGUUUGUUUUCUUUUGCUUUCACUGGUUUGAACAGUGUGUUGUUAUGUGCAGAUUAAGUGAACGGCAUUAUCCAGAAUGCACUAGGCAUACGGGCUGUAGACGUUAUGGAUACAUGUUGAAAGUCGCUCCAGUAAAGUUUGAGCAAAACCCACGCUUACCGUGUGAGAGUAGUAUUUUAAAAUGCACUGCAUGGCAUAACAAACAGAAGCAGAGGUCUGGUCACUCAUCUCCCGGCCUGUAGCCACCCUACUCAGCCACUCUUGGCAGGUUGGGAAAGGUGUGACUUUGCCUCUGCCUCCCUCUCCCUUCCCUCUCUUUGCACAGCCUGCUUGGGUAUUCAGUGGCGUCCUCCCUGAUUGAUGAGUCGGCCGGGGGAGCGGAAAUCUAUCCCCAGGCUGCAGGCGAGGGCCCGGUGAUGGAUGAUUCCUCGGAGGUCUGUGCCGGACUGAUGGGUCACACUGGCCAGGCCCUGCCCACCGGGCUUGUGAUGGAUAUGAGAACAUUCUUUAGGAGAGGUGGCAGCUCCGCCCAGUCAGAUGAGAGAGAGAAGCAGGAGAUUGACAGGGCUGAAGGAGCCGGUGUGAUGGAGGGUCAUGCAGAAGGAGAGGCUGAGGCAGAGCGUCAGAGAGAGGAAGAGACAGACCAAGCAGUGAGCAGCUGACGCUUUCGGGGAGGUGUUGCAGUUUCUGCGUGGAUGCUGCUGAAAGUGUUAGCUGAGUCCACGCCCCCCACACUUCUACCCUGCCACAACAGCAUACACUCAGCACCUCUUCACACUCUUAACCAGCCAAUGCACACGUGACACUCCGGAAAGAGCACACCACCCAUGGUGCAAAGCAGACACACCCUUAAUAAUGUUCUGUGUAAAGUGUGUGUGUGUGUGUGUGUAAGUGUGUAAGGCAAAUCAGUCACGCCCUGAGAUGCGUACAGUGUCUGUGUGUGAAGUGAUGUGAAAUUAAUAUAAUUUGUGUUUUUAUUACCAUUGUGCAGAUGGAUCACGGACCAGCAGUGCUUUCGUGUAGACUUUGGUGUGAAAACAUCCCCUCCACGAUGACUUGAGCCCCACUGGGGAUGAAGACUGGGCCCCUUCCAGCGAGCCAGUUAAAAGCUGACGGUUCAUUUUAUAAACACAUAAUGGAUGUCUCUCCAUUGACCCACUGCACUAUUUAUGAAGCCCAGGCAAUCCCCAACUCAAUUUUCUCAAUGCAGCAAAUAUGCAAAUGAAAGUCUGACAGAAGUUAUUGUAUGCGUCCACCAUUCUGUGCGGUACUUCAGCGCAGUAGCUCCUGUCUGCCAGCAAGUCAGAGUGAAGAUGAAUGAACAUGGAUUAAAUGUCAGCACACAGAAGACAGACCCUCGACCAGGGCAGUGGUAUGCAUCAUCACCUGCCUUAAUCUCCAUGGUGCAGAGUAGAGAGGCCGCUCGCCGCCCAGAUUAACGCAGAGAGAAAUACUCUGAGAUGUCUGAGGCACUAAUCGUGGUUAGCCUCAGGAUCAGUUCUCUUUUUUUUUGUUUUAAAGGAGAUUUUAAUAGCGCUCUUCUCUUGUCCUGGAAACUGCUGCCCUGUGAGCGAGCCUUUGUCCCAGCAUCUGGCUAGUGUUCAGUGCUCGAGCCAAAACAGAUGUCGGGAGGUCGUUCAGAGAUGCACUCAUUUUGUCGUUUGUUAACUGAUUUUGUUUAUGCUGUAUUAUGUUUGUGCUUCCAUGUACAAAUGUUAGAGGAAAUAAAUAAUGAUGACGGUCAAACACGCACACACAUAUACGUGCAAGCAUUCAAAAUGGCUUAGUUUGUUAUUUCUGCCUGUGACAGAUGGAAAUUCUGCUCCUGACAAAAGAUGAACUGACAUUCCAGCAUUACAAUAAUUUCCUCCAUGCACAGCCAGAAGUGUAGAACAAAUCAGAACAAAUCUGUUUGUUUGUCUCCUGCUCCAUUGAAGGAACAUCCCUUUUUCCCUGCUCUUCCUUUUACAUGCCCGGAGGUGAGCCGCGUGUCCUUUGGGACGAUGACCAAUCAAACGAAUCUCCCUGGUGAGGAGAUGAAACAUAAAGGAUUUGCUCUGAGGGCUGAAGUCAAGCCUGGCUUCAUGUGUCUGCAGGCUAGCGGCUGUCUCAGGAGGCACCACUCUCACUAGACUCACUUCUUGAUCUUUCUGAGCUCUUCACUGGCUCAGAUGUCCCCCACCCCCAAACCCCAACUCCCUCUGGUGCGAUAUGACUUCCCUCUUUGGUCGCCAUUGGCAAACCCUUGUAGAUCAUAACAAAGGCUUCGCCAUGAGGCCCAAGCCCCACUUCAUUUGAAUUUACAUCAUGUGCAGCCUAUAUGUUUGGAUAAAGUUUAUCUGAAUUUAAGUUACCGUGAGGAGGCCUCCAGCUACCCUCCAUUUGCACACCCCUAGACGGUGUGCUUAGCUCACUGCAGUAGCUUCGGGCCAUUGGUUCCUAAUGGGAGCCGACUGCAAUAUAACAUAUUUAUUCUUAUUUAUUCAUCUGGCAGAUGCUUUCAUCCAAAGCAACUUGCAGUGACUUGACUCGCAUAGUAAAAAUGCAUGUCUGCGUCUGCAUGUGUGCUCAUUGGGAAGGAAACCUGUGGUAUUUUUGUUGUUAGCACGUUGGCUUAGCGGUUAAGCUAGAGGAGCUAUGGGACCAUGUUACGCCUCCAUUCCAUCAGUUCCAGUUUUCCACUAGCAUGUUCACUCCUGUCCUUGGAUGAGUGCAGAGAUGUGUGCUUGGUGUGCUUGUUGCCCAUGGUCACAUGCGCCAUGAAUGCGAGAAGAUCAUCAGCAGGCUUCCGGUGUCAGGAGCGACUGCUGCUCUCCCUGUGGAAAUAAUGCAGGGCUCUCAAGUGUCACGCAUUGAGCGUGACAGUCACUCAUUUCGGUCUUUAAUCACGCACUCCCGCCACACAUCGUAUUUCUCACGCUGAAAAAAAAACUCUAGGCUAUUUAAUGUGCCGCAGCGCGCUAACAUGACCUGGCCGCGCUGCCCUCACCAUGGAGGAAUCAAGCACGUCUCCCCGAAUCCCCUGGAGUUCUGCCGUGAGGUGCCAAUUAUCAGCCAAUCAAAAAAAAAAAAAAUAGCCAAUCAGAAAAAAAGUGUCUUUUGUAUCUGUUGUAUCUGGGUAAGAUUUAAUCCAGCAACCAAUGAAAAUAAAGCAUCCUGGAAUUGCGCGCGACUGAUCUUCCGAAAGUUUCGUUAACCUGAGGAAACCACU
This is a long non-coding RNA of Clupea harengus (Atlantic herring), 4155 nucleotides long. The record is from Ensembl. NCBI's taxonomy places the organism in Eukaryota, Metazoa, Chordata, Actinopteri, Clupeiformes, Clupeidae.